GGGGCCGAGAAAAGCGACAUCACUGACUGCACCCGGAGAAGACCUGGUUCGACGCUCGAGGACGCGGGUUCGAUUCCCGCCAGCUCCACCA
RNAcentral lists this transfer RNA (91 nucleotides) under Nocardioides daedukensis. RNAcentral's name for it is "tRNA-Leu". It matches the Rfam family "transfer-messenger RNA", at positions 283 to 374 of the family's 374-position model. From Rfam's summary of the family: Bacterial tmRNA, also known as 10Sa RNA or SsrA, is named for its dual tRNA and mRNA-like properties. Lineage: Bacteria; Bacillati; Actinomycetota; Actinomycetes; Propionibacteriales; Nocardioidaceae. The record is from RNAcentral.